Molecule: ribosomal RNA, 492 nt
Filed under: uncultured Desulfobulbus sp.
Lineage: Bacteria; Pseudomonadati; Thermodesulfobacteriota; Desulfobulbia; Desulfobulbales; Desulfobulbaceae
Description: bacterial SSU rRNA
Rfam family: Bacterial small subunit ribosomal RNA
Source: RNAcentral
GCCCGCUCAAGAACUCAAAGGAAUUGACGGGGCCGCACAAGCGGAGGAGCAUGUGGUUUAAUUCGAUGAUACGCGAGGAACCUUACCUGGGCUCGAACGUAAGAUGACUGUAGGUGAAAGCUUACAUCUCUUCGGAGCAUUUUACGAGGUGCUGCAUGGCUGUCGUCAGCUCGUGUCGUGAGAUGUUGGGUUAAGUCCCGCAACGAGCGCAACCCUUGCCUUUAGUUGCCAGCAGUUCGGCUGGGCACUCUAAAGGGACUGCCGGUGUUAAACCGGAGGAAGGUGGGGAUGACGUCAAGUCCUCAUGGCCUUUAUGACCAGGGCUACACACGUACUACAAUGGCCGAUACAAAGGGCAGCGACACUGCGAGGUGAAGCCAAUCCCGUAAAAUCGGUCUCAGUCCGGAUUGGAGUCUGCAACUCGACUCCAUGAAGUUGGAAUCGCUAGUAAUCGUGGAUCAGCAUGCCACGGUGAAUACGUUCCCGGGCCUU